GGGGUAUAGCUCAGCUGGUAGAGCACCUGCUUUGCAAGCAGGGGGUCAGCGGUUCGAAUCCGCUUACCUCC
Molecule: transfer RNA, 71 nt
Filed under: chicken gut metagenome
Rfam family: tRNA
About the family: Transfer RNA (tRNA) molecules are approximately 80 nucleotides in length. Their secondary structure includes four short double-helical elements and three loops (D, anti-codon, and T loops). Further hydrogen bonds mediate the characteristic L-shaped molecular structure. tRNAs have two regions of fundamental functional importance: the anti-codon, which is responsible for specific mRNA codon recognition, and the 3' end, to which the tRNAs corresponding amino acid is attached (by aminoacyl-tRNA synthetases). tRNAs cope with the degeneracy of the genetic code in two manners: having more than one tRNA (with a specific anti-codon) for a particular amino acid; and 'wobble' base-pairing, i.e. permitting non-standard base-pairing at the 3rd anti-codon position.
Source: RNAcentral